RNAcentral lists this ribosomal RNA (445 nucleotides) under uncultured bacterium. RNAcentral's name for it is "partial 16S ribosomal RNA". It matches the Rfam family "Bacterial small subunit ribosomal RNA", at positions 354 to 796 of the family's 1533-position model. The record is from RNAcentral.
GUAGGGAAUAUUGGGCAAUGGAUGCAAGUCUGACCCAGCCAUCCCGCGUGCCGGAAGAAGGCCCUCAGGGUUGUAAACGGCUUUUGACGGUGAAGAAUCGACAGGAUGCGUCCUGUUUUGACGGUAGCAGUUGAAUAAGCACCGGCUAACUCCGUGCCAGCAGCCGCGGUAAUACGGAGGGUGCGAGCGUUGUCCGGAUUUAUUGGGUUUAAAGGGUGCGUAGGCUGGAAGGUCAGUCAGCGGUGAAAAGCUGUCGCUUAACGAUAGUCUUGCCGCAGAUACUUCCUUUCUUGGAUGAGGAGGAGGCCACUGGAACGGAUGGUGUAGCGGUGAAAUGCAUAGAUAUCAUCCAGAACACCGAUUGCGAAGGCAGGUGGCUGUACCUUAAUCGACGCUGAUGCACGAAAGCAUGGGGAGCAAACAGGAUUAGAAACCCUUGUAGUCC